Molecule: long non-coding RNA, 204 nt
Filed under: Mytilus galloprovincialis (Mediterranean mussel)
Lineage: Eukaryota; Metazoa; Mollusca; Bivalvia; Mytilida; Mytilidae
Source: RNAcentral
UCAGUACUGUCAGUGGCGUAGCUUGCAUGUAUGCUCAGAUGCUCAAGCAUCCACAUCAUUUUGACAGAGGAAAAAAUAUAAAUAAAGAUAUGUUCGCAGCAGUUAAACUCAGAGGUAUCCGUAUGUAACAAGGGUUAGGAUAUGAGGAUAACAUCCAAUUAUUUCCGAUGAAGUAUGCGUGGUCUUUUAUUAAGGAUAAUUUAG